UCCAGUGUGCCAGAAGAGCCGGAGAAAAUGGUUGGAAAAAUAAAGAGUGCAAAAAAUGCUAUGAAAAAUUCUCUAGGACCUGCGGGUAAAGAAGAUGUUUCAUACAAAGACUAGGGCAUGCCUUCAAGCGCUAAACUUUCUCCAAUCUUUGAGAUAUCAAAAUUUGAGGAGCAAGAUGGGCAGUGGAAUCCGUGACACAUUUGGGACAAUAUUAUAAUUAAUUAAGGGAACCUGGAGGGAAGUAGAAUAAGAAAGAUGACACUACUAUUGUAGUUAGAGAAUGGGCACACCCAAGAAGACGACAUCGUCGUUGCCGUCGGUCUCAAUCCCAAGUUCAUACCCAAGCUCUCCAUAAUUACUCCCAAAAUCUAUUAUACUCUGUUUCCCCGCCUCCAUAUCUAGUAUAUUGCACACAACCAUAUGUUCAACUCCCUCUUUACCCACAAUGGCG
Molecule: long non-coding RNA, 451 nt
Filed under: Capsicum annuum
Lineage: Eukaryota; Viridiplantae; Streptophyta; Magnoliopsida; Solanales; Solanaceae
Description: long non-coding RNA (CANN_LNC018075)
Source: RNAcentral